RNAcentral lists this ribosomal RNA (519 nucleotides) under uncultured Glomus. Its description in RNAcentral is "SSU rRNA". It matches the Rfam family "Eukaryotic small subunit ribosomal RNA", at positions 569 to 1092 of the family's 1831-position model. The record is from RNAcentral. Lineage: Eukaryota; Fungi; Glomeromycota; Glomeromycetes; Glomerales; Glomeraceae.
AGCAGCCGCGGUAAUUCCAGCUCCAAUAGCGUAUAUUAAAGUUGUUGCAGUUAAAAAGCUCGUAGUUGAAUUUCGGGAUUAGUACGCUGGUCGUGCCUUCGGUACGUACUGGUGUUACUGAUUCCUACCUUCUGACGAACCAUCAUGUCAUUAAUUUGGUGUGGUGGGAAAUCAGGACUGUUACUUUGAAAAAAUUAGAGUGUUUAAAGCAGGCUCGCGCUUGAAUACAUUAGCAUGGAAUAAUGAAAUAGGACGUUGACCCUAUUUUGUUGGUUUCUAGGAUUGACGUAAUGAUUAAUAGGGAUAGUUGGGGGCAUUAGUAUUCAAUUGUCAGAGGUGAAAUUCUUGGAUUUAUUGAAGACUAACUACUGCGAAAGCAUUUGCCAAGGAUGUUUUCAUUAAUCAAGAACGAAAGUUAGGGGAUCGAAGACGAUCAGAUACCGUCGUAGUCUUAACCAUAAACUAUGCCGACUAGGGAUCGGAUGAUGUUAUUUUUAAUGACUCAUUCGGCGCCUUACG